Gambusia affinis (western mosquitofish) is the source of this 1794-nucleotide long non-coding RNA. RefSeq lists it as uncharacterized. Lineage: Eukaryota; Metazoa; Chordata; Actinopteri; Cyprinodontiformes; Poeciliidae. The record is from RefSeq and is a predicted model, not a curated record. The transcript is spliced from 3 exons.
CCCAUCUGCCCAGUUCUCAGAUUCCUUCCCUGAUACCUCUGGAUUUUAUUUUUCCAUAUGACUUUAAUAGCUGGAGAACAUGAAGAAAAGCAACGAGCUUUCUGAAAGACGGGGGAUCACACUUACCAGCUGGAACUGCUGAAGAAUCGCAAACUAAAGGAUUAUUCAAAUGAACUCAAGUCAACUGAGCUCACAAACUCUUGUGGAAAUUCUCAUGAGGGUUCAAAGGAGCAAACAUCCCAGCAACUAGAGAGUGAUUUCUUGGAACCACUGCAUCCUGUUGGCCUGAGGGAGUCGGGAGCCUCUGGCUGAUUAGAGGAAGCCCCAUAUCCGAUUCCAACCCCCCUGCCCUGUUCAAUGUUGCUACCCAGGUUUAAUACCUUAAUACCUCAGCCUCCUGAUCAUGGACCUUUGCUAUAAAAGUGUUUGCUCGAUUACCAAGGAAUGCCGGAGCUCUCUGUAGGCGCCAAUGUCGGAUCCUAGACAGGAAAACAGCCAUCUGCAUCGGUGCAGAAUCAAAAGUGUUUUAUAAAAUUUUCUUGGUGAUUUUUAAGUUUUGGUUACUUCUCAUAAAUUUGUUUUACAGCUAGAGACUUUUUCAUGCCGUAAAUAUGUAAACAUAUAUUUUAGGUUUAUGAGUAAGCCAUGUUUGCACACCAGGUCUGUUCAAUCCAUCAUCCAAAAAGGAAAAUCAAAACUAAAUCUACCAAGACAGGACCAUCCACCUAGAGCAGCAGAGAAGGUAAGAAAUGACUUAGUAGAUGACGCAUGCAACCCUGAUGAAGAUGCAGAGAUUCUCAGCUAAGAUGGGAGAAUCUGUAAACAAGAUGAUGAGUCUUAUACUGCACAAAUCUGGCCUUUAUGUUUCAGUGAUAAGGAGGGGCCAACUGUUUAAGCAAACUUCUGAUCAGCUGGGACCGAAACUAAACUUUCUGGCCUACAUACAAUAUGCUAAGUGUGGAGGUAAAUAAACAGUUCACAUCUGUAUUUAGAUGAAUACAUGACAAUCCUGAAAGACAACCUGAAAGAGGGGUUAAAAUUUAAAUGGAGGUUCACCAGUGAGACAACAAUCUUAAAUAUCCAGGCAGAGCUACUAUGGGUUGGUUUAGGCUACAGCAUUUUAAUGUGUUGAAUAAUAGUCAAAUUUACUUAAAAUGUGUGGCGAGACUUAAAAAAUGUACUAUUAGAGACUACUAUAUUACAUAAAAAUAUCUUUCCAAUAACACAAAAACUUAAAUGUAAUGAAAAUCAUAUGAUUUUGAAUUCUAACAAUUUUGAGUUAUUUUAAAGUUUUGGUUGCUCCUCAUAUAAUCAGCACUGUUUGUUGUGCAAACUGGAAUCUUUUCAGCCACAAACCUGUAAAUAUGUCUUUUAGAUUGAUGGAUGUUGCCAGACUUGCAAAAACCUGUACAACAACAUGCUUCUGCAACAUGCUUCUGUUUUUUUCUCUCUCUCUCUCCAUCUUCCUUGCCUGUGUUUAACCAGAGGGAAAUAGUGCAGAGAACUAAUUACACAAACAAAAUUCCUCUGCCAUAUUUUUUUUCCAGAGGAUAUGAUUUCAGCAGCUUCAGAUUGUGACUCAGAUUGAUUUGUCUCCUUGCAGCAUUUAUAGUAAUGCAAAGCUCUAACAUUUUCCUGCUUUUUUUUUUUUUUUUUUUUCAGAAAAGCUGUGUGUUCAGUCUCAUAUUCAACUUGAUGAUCCUGACUUUGUGCUUAGAAUAUUGUUUUUUUGAGGAGAAACUAUGCUAAGUGGCAGUCCAUUUUUAUGUAUCUCUAAUUAAAUCUUCUAAUGUG